Molecule: unclassified non-coding RNA, 161 nt
Filed under: uncultured Flagellospora
Lineage: Eukaryota; Fungi; Ascomycota
Description: sequence contains ITS1
Source: RNAcentral
AUGAGAACUUGCCCUCCGGGGUAGAUCUCCCACCCUUUGUAUAUCUUACCUUUGUUGCUUUGUCGGGCCCGUCCCCCGGGACCGCCGGCUUCGGCUGGCCAGUGCUCGACAGAGGACCCAAACUCAUGUUUAAACGUCGUCUGAGUACUAUAUAAUAGUUA